This 465-nucleotide ribosomal RNA is filed under the name uncultured bacterium. Its description in RNAcentral is "bacterial SSU rRNA". It matches the Rfam family "Bacterial small subunit ribosomal RNA", at positions 349 to 826 of the family's 1533-position model. The record is from RNAcentral.
CAGCAGUGGGGAAUAUUGCACAAUGGGCGAAAGCCUGAUGCAGCGACGCCGCGUGAGGGAUGACGGCCUUCGGGUUGUAAACCUCUUUCAGCAGGGACGAAGCGCAAGUGACGGUACCUGCAGAAGAAGCACCGGCUAACUACGUGCCAGCAGCCGCGGUAAUACGUAGGGUGCAAGCGUUGUCCGGAAUUACUGGGCGUAAAGAGUUCGUAGGCGGUUUGUCGCGUCGUUUGUGAAAACCAGCAGCUCAACUGCUGGCUUGCAGGCGAUACGGGCAGACUUGAGUACUGCAGGGGAGACUGGAAUUCCUGGUGUAGCGGUGAAAUGCGCAGAUAUCAGGAGGAACACCGGUGGCGAAGGCGGGUCUCUGGGCAGUAACUGACGCUGAGGAACGAAAGCGUGGGUAGCGAACAGGAUUAGAUACCCUGGUAGUCCACGCCGUAAACGGUGGGCGCUAGGUGUGGG